This 258-nucleotide ribosomal RNA is filed under the name uncultured bacterium. RNAcentral's name for it is "partial 16S ribosomal RNA". It matches the Rfam family "Bacterial small subunit ribosomal RNA", at positions 524 to 776 of the family's 1533-position model. The record is from RNAcentral.
CACGGGGGGGAGCAAGCGUUUGUUCGGAAUCAUUGGGCGUAAAGGGCGUGUAGGCGGUCAAGUAAGUGGAAUGUGAAAGCCCCCCGGCUUACCCGGGGAUCUGCAUCCCAAACUGCUUGGCUUGAGUACGGGAGGGGGAUAGGGGGAAUUCCUGGUGUAGCGGUGAAAUGCGUAGAUAUCAGGAGGAACACCGGUGGCGAAGGCGCCUAUCUGGCCCGAUACUGACGCUGAGGCGCGAAAGCUAGGGGAGCAAACGGG